This 488-nucleotide ribosomal RNA is filed under the name uncultured bacterium. RNAcentral's name for it is "partial 16S ribosomal RNA". It matches the Rfam family "Bacterial small subunit ribosomal RNA", at positions 899 to 1397 of the family's 1533-position model. The record is from RNAcentral.
ACUCAAAUGAAUUGACGGGGGCCCGCACAAGCAGCGGAGCGUGUGGUUUAAUUCGACGCAACGCGCAGAACCUUACCAGGGCUUGACAUCCUCGGGACCCGCCUGAAAGGGUGGGGUGCCUUCGGGAGCCGAGAGACAGGUGCUGCAUGGCUGUCGUCAGCUCGUGUCGUGAGAUGUUGGGUUAAGUCCCGCAACGAGCGCAACCCUCGUGCCUAGUUAUGGUGAUGUCUAGGCAGACUGCCGGGCGCAACCCGGAGGAAGGGGGGGAUGACGUCAAGUCAGCAUGGCCCUUACGCCCUGGGCGACACACACGCUACAAUGGCCGGGACAGCGGGCAGCCAAGCGGUAACGCGGAGCCAAUCCCUGUAAACCCGGUCUCAGUUCGGAUUGCGGGCUGCAACUCGCCCGCAUGAAGUCGGAGUUGCUAGUAACCGCCGGUCAGCCAUACGGCGGUGAAUAUGUUCCCGGGCCUUGUACACACCGCCCGU